AGGGUAAUUAACUGGCCUCGGAGGAAAAGCGCACUGCAGCAAGAUGAGCAAGCCCGCCCGUGCCAGCCGGAACUGCCAGGGCUGCCCCACGGUGGUAACCUGCUCUCCACCACCUGUCCAGCCACCUGCCUGAGGAAGCCCUUCCAACAACAAGGAGGGAUCACUCCAGCAAGAAACCAUCCGCAGUGUUCAAAAGGAACCAGAAAAGGAAAGCAAAGGGUGCAACUUUAUUCUUAGGGAAAGACAACAAAAAGGCAUGUGUGUCUCUACACUGGAUCCCGAGCGGCUGGAGUUCUCCACCGAGAGAGUUCUGUGCCCAGCGGGACAUAGGGGUGAGGACCCCACAGCGGGGUGGGCACUCCAGGGUGAGUCUAACACAGGUGAAGAAGCCCUUUUGUUCCCUGCUAAACCCACAGUGUGGUUCCCUUGGAGAUCUCAGAAAGGACUGGAGCCAUCAACUCCCCCAAGACCGGCUAGGAGAAAUGCAUUCCCUCCGGUGCCUCUUUCCCUGAGUGAGUCACACAGUGAAUCAUGUCUAAUGACAAGCUGCUGCACCACAAGUUCACCCCACCUGGAGGGCACACCAAGGUGGCAGUAAUAACACACCCCACAUCCAGCCACAUCCGUCUCAGUGACAUGCAAAGAAG
This is a long non-coding RNA of Rattus rattus (black rat), 647 nucleotides long. RefSeq lists it as uncharacterized. Lineage: Eukaryota; Metazoa; Chordata; Mammalia; Rodentia; Muridae. The record is from RefSeq and is a predicted model, not a curated record. The transcript is spliced from 3 exons.